ACGUACACUCCUACGGGAGGCAGCAGUGGGGAAUUUUACGCAAUGGGGGAAACCCUGACGUAGCGACACCGCGUGAGCGAAGAAGCCCUUUGGGGUGUAAAGCUCUGUCAGCUGGAACGAAAACAAUGACGGUACCAGCAGAGGAAGCAUCGGCUAACUACGUGCCAGCAGCCGCGGUAAGACGUAGGAUGCGAGCGUUGUCCGGAUUUAUUGGGCGUAAAGAGUUCGUAGGUGGUUUGUUAAGUUUGGUGUUAAAGAUCGGGGCUCAACCCUGGGACUGCACUGAAUACUGGCAGACUCGAGUGUGGUAGAGGCUAGUGGAAUUCCCAGUGUAGCGGUGAAAUGCGUAGAUAUUGGGAAGAACACCGGUGGCGUAGGCGACUAGCUGGGCCAUAACUGACGCUGAGGAACGAAAGCCAGGGGAGCGAAUGGGAUUAGAUACCCGUGUAGUCCCAUGAU
RNAcentral lists this ribosomal RNA (459 nucleotides) under uncultured organism. Its description in RNAcentral is "partial 16S ribosomal RNA". It matches the Rfam family "Bacterial small subunit ribosomal RNA", at positions 329 to 805 of the family's 1533-position model. The record is from RNAcentral.